RNAcentral lists this long non-coding RNA (505 nucleotides) under Mus caroli (Ryukyu mouse). RNAcentral's name for it is "predicted gene 13994 (MGP_CAROLIEiJ_G0005470.1)". The record is from RNAcentral. Lineage: Eukaryota; Metazoa; Chordata; Mammalia; Rodentia; Muridae.
AGAGUUCUUCCCUGUGGUGCCUUCUCACUGAAGAUGGCCUGGGAGCAUGGAGAAAAGUAAGACUCCAGUAACUCCAAGCUGGGGCUUCUGCUUGUUCAGCCACAAGGUGGGAAUGCUCUGCGCUUUGCUGGGGAAGUUUCACAGGACAGGAGCAAACUGAGGCAUGAGAUGCCUGGGAGAUUUUGUUGAGCUUUGGAUGAGCUACGUCACUCUUUGAACAUGGGAAUUGAAGUGCAUCUAGCUGCUUUUUUUUUUUUUUUCAUCUGGGAUCAAGGGAACCAUCAGAAAACAGGUUUGCUGCCUAGAUUGAUAGCUAGGCAAUGGAGGCUCAAUAGUACACAGCUGAAAUGCCAGGAGUUGAACAGGAGACAAAGUAGAGCUGCUGGUCAGUGUCACUGGGCUGCACAUCCCUGGGAGAUGGAGAGACAAUGAGUUUCCAGGCCAUCCUUCAUCCUCAUUCCAAACACAAGCUUUGCGCACUCCCGGAAGUACUGUCCGAUGAAAU